AUGAUUGAUCUCUGUAAUUCAAUGGAAAGCAGCGGUAUUGCAGGCGACUGCUAUGUUUUCAACAUAUUAAUUGAUGCAUAUGCUAAACAUGGAAUGAUGGAUGAAGCUAUGCUCAUAUUUACAGAAAUGUGGGAAAAAGGAGUAAGUCCUAAUGUAGUCACCUAUUCCACUGUAAUAGCCGCACUUUCCAGAAUGGCUAGAUUGACCGAUGCCAUGGGCAAGUUCAUUCAGAUGAUUUCCACGGGAGUUCAAUCCAACACAGCUGUUUACUACUCCCUAAUUCAUGGUUUAUGUUUAAAUGUCGGCAAGAUGGGUGAAGCACCCAGAGUGCUUGAAUCCAUGAUAUCCGUUGGUAUUGAGCCUAAUGUUGUUACAUGUAAUACUCUUAUUAAUGGCUAUUCUAGAAAUGGAAGGAUCAAUGAUGGUUUGACUCUGUUUAGAGAAAUGACAAGUAAGAGAAUUAAGCUUGACACUGUUACAUAUGAGAUCAUACUGGAUGGGUUGUUUCAUUCUGGGAGAACUGUUGCCGCAAGGAAAAUAUUUCAUGAGAUGACCGAAAAUGGAAUAACAGUGAGCAUUUCCACAUACGGUAUAAUACUUAGAGGUCUUUGUAGAAAUAAUUGUGUGCUCUGUUCCAGAAAUUAG
RNAcentral lists this ribosomal RNA (645 nucleotides) under Triticum aestivum (bread wheat). RNAcentral describes it as "partial small subunit ribosomal RNA". Lineage: Eukaryota; Viridiplantae; Streptophyta; Magnoliopsida; Poales; Poaceae. The record is from RNAcentral.